RNAcentral lists this ribosomal RNA (414 nucleotides) under uncultured microorganism. Its description in RNAcentral is "bacterial SSU rRNA". It matches the Rfam family "Archaeal small subunit ribosomal RNA", at positions 459 to 872 of the family's 1478-position model. The record is from RNAcentral.
CAGCAGCCGCGGUAAUACCGGCGGCCCGAGUGGCGGUCACUAUUAUUGGGCUUAAAGCGUCCGUAGCCGGGGUGGGAAGUCCUCCGGGAAAUCUGGCCGCUUAACGGUCAGAAUGCCGGAGGAUACUCCCAGCCUAGGGAGCGGGAGAGGCCGAGGGGAUUCCCGGAGUAGGGGUGAAAUCCUAUAAUCCCGGGAGGACCACCUGUGGCGAAGGCGCUCGGCUGGAACGCGUCCGACGGUGAGGGACGAAGGCCAGGGGAGCAAACCGGAUUAGAUACCCGGGUAGUCCUGGCUGUAAACGAUGCGGACUUUGUGUCGGACAAGCUAUGAGCUUGUCCGGUGCCGGAGGGAAACCGUUAAGUCCGCCGCCUGGGGAGUACGGCCGCAAGGCUGUAACUUAAAGGAAUUGGCGGG